Molecule: ribosomal RNA, 700 nt
Filed under: Comamonadaceae bacterium enrichment culture clone Q291
Lineage: Bacteria; Pseudomonadati; Pseudomonadota; Betaproteobacteria; Burkholderiales; Comamonadaceae
Description: bacterial SSU rRNA
Rfam family: Bacterial small subunit ribosomal RNA
Source: RNAcentral
AGAUUGAGUUUGAUCCUGGCUCAGAUUGGACGCUGGCGGCAUGCCUUACACAUGCAAGUCGAACGGCAGCACGGGAGCAAUCCUGGUGGCGAGUGGCGAACGGGUGAGUAAUAUAUCGGAACGUGCCCAGUCGUGGGGGAUAACGUAGCGAAAGCUACGCUAAUACCGCAUACGAUCUACGGAUGAAAGCGGGGGAUCGCAAGACCUCGCGCGAUUGGAGCGGCCGAUAUCAGAUUAGGUUGUUGGUGGGGUAAAAGCCCACCAAGCCGACGAUCUGUAGCUGGUCUGAGAGGACGACCAGCCACACUGGGACUGAGACACGGCCCAGACUCCUACGGGAGGCAGCAGUGGGGAAUUUUGGACAAUGGGCGCAAGCCUGAUCCAGCAAUGCCGCGUGCAGGAUGAAGGCCUUCGGGUUGUAAACUGCUUUUGUACGGAACGAAACGGCUUUUUCUAAUACAGAGAGCUAAUGACGGUACCGUAAGAAUAAGCACCGGCUAACUACGUGCCAGCAGCCGCGGUAAUACGUAGGGUGCGAGCGUUAAUCGGAAUUACUGGGCGUAAAGCGUGCGCAGGCGGUUUUGUAAGACAGAUGUGAAAUCCCCGGGCUCAACCUGGGACCUGCAUUUGUGACUGCAAGGCUAGAGUACGGUAGAGGGGGAUGGAAUUCCGCGUGUAGCAGUGAAAUGCGUAGAUAUGC